RNAcentral lists this small RNA (1119 nucleotides) under Pongo abelii (Sumatran orangutan). Its description in RNAcentral is "retained intron". Lineage: Eukaryota; Metazoa; Chordata; Mammalia; Primates; Hominidae. The record is from RNAcentral.
CCAUCCUUAGCUAAGAACUGGGUGAUGCGGAUGCUCUUUCUGGAGCAGCCUUUGCCACAAGCUGCUGUAGCCCUGUGGGUAAAGAAGGAAUUCAGCAAGGCUCAGGAGGAAAGUACAGGGCUGCUGAGCGGCCUCCGGAUCUGGCACACCCAGCUGCUCCCAGGCGGGCUCCAGGGCCUCAUCCUCAACCCCAUUUUCCGCCAGAACCUCCGCAUUGCCCUUCUGGGUGGGGGGAAGGCCUGGUCUGAUGACACAAGUCAGCUGGGACCAGACAAGCAUGCCCGGGAUGUUCCCUCCCUUGACAAGUAUGCCGAAGAGCGAUGGGAGGUGGUCUUGCACUUCAUGGUGGGCUCCCCCAGUGCAGCUGUCAGCCAGGACUUGGCUCAGCUCCUCAGCCAGGCUGGGCUCAUGAAAAGUACUGAACCUGGAGAGCCACCCUGCAUUACUUCCGCUGGCUUCCAGUUCCUGUUGCUGGACACCCCGGCUCAGCUCUGGUACUUUAUGUUGCAGUAUUUGCAGACAGCCCAGAGCCGGGGCAUGGACCUAGUAGAGAUUCUCUCCUUCCUCUUCCAGCUCAGCUUCUCUACUCUGGGCAAGGAUUACUCUGUGGAAGGUAUGAGUGAUUCUCUGUUGAACUUCCUGCAACAUCUGCGUGAGUUUGGGCUUGUUUUCCAGAGGAAGGUAUGAGCGCCUAGAUAAGUGGCUUCCAGGGAAGAAACAGGGUGGCGUGUUGCCUUUGCCUUUAAAAAGGAGUGGGGUCUUGGGGCAGUAGCAGGAAGCAGUUGCCAGAACUGAAUACUUGGGUCUCUCGGGGGAGAGAAGUUGGGGUUCUGCAUCUUGGGAGGGAUCUAAUAUUUCAGGCAGGAAAAUGUAAGGCAGUGACUUCUGAGACAAGGCAUCUGCCUUUCUUUUCUUUUCAGAGGAAAUCUCGGCGUUACUACCCCACACGCCUGGCCAUCAAUCUCUCAUCAGGUGUCUCUGGAGCUGGGGGCACUGUGCAUCAGCCAGGUUUCAUUGUCGUGGAAACCAAUUACCGACUGUAUGCCUACACGGAGUCGGAGCUGCAGAUUGCCCUCAUUGCCCUCUUCUCUGAGAUGCUCUAUCGGUUCCCCAACAUGG